Molecule: long non-coding RNA, 1371 nt
Filed under: Gallus gallus (chicken)
Lineage: Eukaryota; Metazoa; Chordata; Aves; Galliformes; Phasianidae
Description: lncRNA (ENSGALG00010014975.1)
Source: RNAcentral
AUAUGAUCUCAGUGAAAUGUGCAAACAAUCACUGUGCGAAUAGUUGGAAGGCAAAAGGAAUUGCUGGGAUUCUGGGAGAAAGCAGGAUGCAAGGCUUGAUUUCUUUGUUGUGUGUGGAUUUGUGCAUAAAUGUCCACUACAAAUUUGCUGUUUGCUCUCAUUUAAAGUUAUUUUGGAAAAGCCUCCUCGGGCUUAUGGGUGAGAUGGUUUGACAACAAGCGUUCAAAUGCUCUGCUAUGUGAAGGACAGGUCUCAAUUCUGCUCCUUCAGCUUCAGUGACAGCUGAUUUGUCCACUGCGCAAUGCUCUUCAAAUUCUCCUUUUCUGUAUGCGGGGUCUAAGGAGAGAAGGUUAAUAUAUUUUUCUGCAAUAAGAUUAGAUUUGGCUUGCAAGCGAUGUGCUGAGAUAGGCCACAUUUUAAAUAUUUGUAAAUGGUUUGACUUUUGGUUUAAUUCAGCUGUCUCUGACUUUCUGAGUAUGUUCCUCUGCUAAAAAUGGGGUGGGGAGAGAGGAACAGUUCAACUGUGAGCUAUUCUUCAGAAAACUGGAUGUUUUGCCAUCCCACCAAUGUCAUCUGGCAUUAAUUAACAUAGCAUCUUGCUAAUUACAUUGUCAGCAUACAGCCACUAAAUUCAAAUACAAAGAGAAUUGUUAAAAUGUCCCGAUUUAACUCUGGUAUUUCUUUUAAAGCAUCAUUCUUCAAGUUUUGUGUAUAUGGGACAUCAUCCAAAGCCAAUGAAGUUAAUGGGCUUUCUUCGGAUUUGGCCCAAAAACACUUGGAAAAAUCAGCGUUGUGUCCAAACUGCCUCUCUAAAUCAAGCACUUAGGUACUUAGCUCCUAUUGUUGGUGCAGCACAUCACCCAGGACACCCUGAUAUGCAGCUCUGUGGACCUGAUCUGUCUCCUAUGGGACUGAGGACAACAUGUGAAGGGGAAAGAGAGAGCUUGCAUGUUGCUACAAUCUGUGUCUUUUGUGUUGUGUGAGGGCUGGCUGCUCGGUGAUGCUCUCCUGAUGAAUUUUGUGACUCCUUCUUGAGUUGGGGAGAUCUGGGGAGAAGGAUGAGUGCCUGAUCAGAUCCUGUACUUUGCCCAAAGCAAAACAGUUAGAGUCAGCAAAAAUCUCUCCUACUUAAAGCGCUGUGCCAGCAGUGAAGGGAUUCUACAUGUGUGGCUGAGCCAGGGCAGGAGCCACACUGGAGCCAAACACUGGAUUAAUCCUGCCUUUUAACAGAACCUGGAGCGCAGUCCUGCUCUCAGGAAAUGGCAGUUCUGUCACCUGUACAUGUCUCGCUCUGCGUUAGCUUCACCUUCCCUUCAGCAUCGCUGGCCUUCACUCACUGGCCUUCACACACAUCCCUGAGUAUUAUUAAAA